CACGUAGGGCGCAAGCGUUGUCCGGAAUUAUUGGGCGUAAAGAGCUCGUAGGUGGUUUGUUACGUCUGCUGUGAAAACCUAGGGCUUAACCCUGGGCUUGCAGUGGAUACGGGCAGACUAGAGGUAGGUAGGGGAGAAUGGAAUUCCAGGUGUAGCGGUGAAAUGCGUAGAUAUCUGGAAGAACACCGGUGGCGCAAGCGACUUGCUGGGCCGUAACUGACACUGAGGAACGAAAGCUAGGGGAGCGAAUGGG
This 253-nucleotide ribosomal RNA is filed under the name uncultured bacterium. Its description in RNAcentral is "partial 16S ribosomal RNA". It matches the Rfam family "Bacterial small subunit ribosomal RNA", at positions 524 to 776 of the family's 1533-position model. The record is from RNAcentral.